Molecule: non-coding RNA, 1570 nt
Organism: Kogia breviceps (pygmy sperm whale)
Lineage: Eukaryota; Metazoa; Chordata; Mammalia; Artiodactyla; Physeteridae
Source: RefSeq, a predicted model, not a curated record
AUGAAUUUGUCAGCUGAGAAGUGUGGUCCUCUCGCUCGGCAAGCCUGAAGUCUGUUUGAAGCACCCUUGACCAGUGCUCAUUCCUUUGUGCUUUCUGGGCAUAUCUGCUGCCCAGAAUCUCUGGUAGAAAGUUGCUGCCUCAGGGGCUGUUAGGCAAAUACCCAACUCUUGGGGGUGCGGGCAGAGUGGGUAGGAGCCGCCAAAGCAGUGCCUUAGGGGAGUGGCCCCCAUGUGCUGAGUGACUGUACAGGAUUUUCCCCCUAACUUUCAGGACCGACUUCCCGAAUUGUACCCUUCCUAACAGGGGCUGCUGUAUAAAGUCAGGCUGGACUUCUGAGAACUCCAAGGUACUGUUGGCGGGCCCCCUCACCCCUGCCCCUCUCCUGCUUGGCCCCUGUCAGCUCGGUGCUUCUUGCCACAAUGGGUCCAGGCCCACCUCUGUCCUCCCCUUGGCAGUGAACAGCUGAGGAAGAUAGUGGACGUCAAACCCGGCCUGCCAGGGCCCAUCAUGGCACGGUGCUGAGGGGUGUGAGGUUCAGCUGUGCCAGCGUACCCCGGCCCCAGCCAUUGGGGACUCAGGUUAUUCCCUCUGAGAAGCCACCUGUGUGGAUUGGGUGGUCAAAUGGAGAGGCCUCAGAUGCUUCCUCUGCUUUUUUCCGUCCCUUGGUGGGUCGAGAGGCCUGCGAAGGAUCACACUGAGGAUGCCUCUUGCCUUCCCUCAUCAGGCUGUCCUCAUAGCACAUCACCCUAGGGCCCCACCCCAUGCAGUAAGUGCCUCUGAAGGGGUCACAGCGUGCUUGCCAGGCCGAGUCCCUUUUUAAAAUCCCAGACUCACGCAGUUAGAAAAGAGUGUUUUCAGUAUUUUACUAACAAAUGAAUUGGCAAAAGAACAAGCUCUCUGGUGAUACCUCCCCCUUUCCCCCAUUUAGCAUCCACCAGGUGCCCAUCACGGUGGCAGGGGUCUGACGUGCUCGCUGGGUUCUCAGCGGCUUGCCUUGCCUCCAACUCAAGUCACUCGCACAACUGCUCGGGGGCAGGAAGAGACUUCCCUUCCUCAAAAGGGCAAGAGAGAGAGAGAAGCUCCUGGUUGGAUGCCAGGGCCACAUGGGCAAGCCAGGCCUUAUUCCUUCUGGAGGACGGCGCUGAUUCUUCUUCCUGGGACAGAGAACCUCUGCCCACAGCAUCAGUCUUCCGAAGGUCAGCCCCCACCCAUGAAAGCCUUGAGUGGAGCCUCAGCGUUACGAAGGCAUCGUCCUGUCCCUCAGACUGGCUAAGAGGAGGACAUCCCGCGAUCUUUGUCAGCAGACGGUGAGACUCCAGGACUAAGACGUAAGCCCAUGGCGGGGUCCUUCCUUUGGCACCAAGUCCCUACAGAACCUUGGAUGAGUCGGAUCCCCACACUGUACCCCCUCCUCAGUAUCCACAGCUGUGAAGUGGGAAUAAUAUCAACACAUGGGGAAGUACUGAGGAGGAAGAGAACAUUGCAGAAUUGUAACAGCUACUCAGGGACUCUGCCAAUCAGAGUGCCCGCACGGAGCUCGUUUUGCACCACGAAGGCAGGAAUCCUGGA